GCGAGAGUGGCGGAACGGCAGACGCGCUAUCUUCAGGCGGUAGUGUCGAAAGACGUGAGGGUUCAAAUCCCUUCUCUCGCA
This 81-nucleotide transfer RNA is filed under the name Aerococcus sp. RNAcentral's name for it is "tRNA-Leu". It matches the Rfam family "tRNA". Rfam says of the family: Transfer RNA (tRNA) molecules are approximately 80 nucleotides in length. Their secondary structure includes four short double-helical elements and three loops (D, anti-codon, and T loops). Lineage: Bacteria; Bacillati; Bacillota; Bacilli; Lactobacillales; Aerococcaceae. The record is from RNAcentral.